RNAcentral lists this ribosomal RNA (303 nucleotides) under uncultured bacterium. Its description in RNAcentral is "partial 16S ribosomal RNA". It matches the Rfam family "Bacterial small subunit ribosomal RNA", at positions 507 to 809 of the family's 1533-position model. The record is from RNAcentral.
AGCAGUAGCCACGGGAAUACGGAGGGAGCUAGCGUUGUUCGGAAUUACUGGGCGUAAAGCGCACGUAGGCGGUUAUUCAAGUCAGUGGUGAAAGCCCGGGGCUCAACCCCGGAACUGCCUUUGAAACUAGAUGACUGGAAUCUUGGAGAGGUCAGUGGAAUCCCGAGUGUAGAGGUGAAAUUCGUAGAUAUUCGGAAGAACACCAGUGGCGAAGGCGACUGACUGGACAAGUAUUGACGCUGAGGUGCGAAAGCGUGGGGAGCAAACAGGAUUAGAUACCCCUGUAGUCCCUGUCUCUUAUAA